Lytechinus variegatus (green sea urchin) is the source of this 174-nucleotide long non-coding RNA. RefSeq lists it as uncharacterized. The transcript is spliced from 3 exons. NCBI's taxonomy places the organism in Eukaryota, Metazoa, Echinodermata, Echinoidea, Temnopleuroida, Toxopneustidae. The record is from RefSeq and is a predicted model, not a curated record.
AAAACAAUGGCAAGAGGAAAUUUAGGGUAGUUGCCAAAGUCGAGCCAGGCAAAGACCCAAUCAGAGUUACAGAAAAAUCUCUCUACUCUGUCACACAUACAAGCCCUUUGAAAAGCUCCUGCUUAACCGCAUUGUUCCCUUUGUGACUGAGUUCUUCAUUCCAGUAGAUUCAGG